RNAcentral lists this ribosomal RNA (355 nucleotides) under uncultured Fusibacter sp. RNAcentral describes it as "bacterial SSU rRNA". It matches the Rfam family "Bacterial small subunit ribosomal RNA", at positions 1027 to 1382 of the family's 1533-position model. Lineage: Bacteria; Bacillati; Bacillota; Clostridia; Eubacteriales; Fusibacteraceae. The record is from RNAcentral.
CGGGGAGACAGGUGGUGCAUGGUUGUCGUCAGCUCGUGUCGUGAGAUGUUGGUUAAGUCCCGCAACGAGCGCAACCCUUGUGUUUAGUUGCAAACAGGUCAAGCUGUGCACUCUAGACAGACUGCCGUGGACAACACGGAGGAAGGUGGGGAUGACGUCAAAUCAUCAUGCCCCUUAUGAUCUGGGCUACACACGUGCUACAAUGGCCGGUACAACGGGCAGCGAAGGAGCGAUCCGGAGCGAAUCCUAAAAAGCCGGUCCCAGUUCGGAUUGCAGGCUGAAACUCGCCUACAUGAAGUUGGAGUUGCUAGUAAUCGCGAAUCAGAAUGUCGCGGUGAAUGCGUUCCCGGGUCUU